Molecule: ribosomal RNA, 253 nt
Filed under: uncultured bacterium
Lineage: Bacteria
Description: partial 16S ribosomal RNA
Rfam family: Bacterial small subunit ribosomal RNA
Source: RNAcentral
UACAGAGGGUGCAAGCGUUGUUCGGAAUCAUUGGGCGUAAAGGGCGUGUAGGCGGUCUGUUAAGUCAUGUGUGAAAUCCCUCGGCUCAACCGCGGUAGGUCGUUGGAAACUGCCUCGCUAGAGUCCGGAAGAGGAGAGCGGAAUUCCUGGUGUAGCGGUGGAAUGCGCAGAUAUCAGGAGGAACACCGGUGGCGAAGGCGGGUCUCUGGGCCGACACUGACACUGAGAGACGAAAGCUAGGGGAGCGAAUGGG